This 460-nucleotide ribosomal RNA is filed under the name uncultured bacterium. RNAcentral describes it as "partial 16S ribosomal RNA". It matches the Rfam family "Bacterial small subunit ribosomal RNA", at positions 338 to 795 of the family's 1533-position model. The record is from RNAcentral.
CCUACGGGAGGCAGCAGUGAGGAAUAUUGGUCAAUGGGCGCGAGCCUGAACCAGCCAAGUAGCGUGAAGGAUGACUGCCCUACGGGUUGUAAACUUCUUUUAUCAAGGAAUAAAGUGAGGCACGUGUGCCUGUUUGUAUGUUCUUUAUGAAUAAGGAUCGGCUGACCCCGGUCCAGCCGCCGCGGUAAUACGGCGGAUCCGAGCGUUUUUCGGAUUUUUUGGGUUUAAAGGGAGCGUAGAUGGGUUGUUAAGUCAGUUGUGAAAGUUUGCGGCUCAAACGUAGAAUUGCAAUUGAUACUGGCAGUCUUGAGUAGAGUUGAGGUAGGCGGAAUUCGUGGUGUAGCGGUGAAAUGCUUAGAUAUCACGAAGAACUCCGAUUGCGAAGGCAGCUUACUAAACUGCCACUGACAUUGAGGCACGAAAGUGUGGGUAUCAAACAGGAUUAGAUACCCUUGUAGUC